Long non-coding RNA from Cyclopterus lumpus (lumpfish), 223 nucleotides. RefSeq lists it as uncharacterized. NCBI's taxonomy places the organism in Eukaryota, Metazoa, Chordata, Actinopteri, Perciformes, Cyclopteridae. The record is from RefSeq and is a predicted model, not a curated record. The transcript is spliced from 2 exons.
GGAACCAACGUGGCGGAGAGCGGAGUCAACAGAAGAAAAGACGGCUGUGGUGGUGAGCGAGCGAUGCGCAUCUGGAUCGAGACUCACUACUGCACUUUAUCCCUGCUGGAGCUGACAGGAAGUAAACGUGGACCAAAGCAGAAUGGGAAUGAAAUGGUCUCUUGUCAUUGUGUGCGUCACAUUUAAGAAUAAACAGACUGAUGUUUAUCAGUUUUGAAACACA